GGACUACUGGGGUAUCUAAUCCUGUUUGCUCCCCACGCUUUCGCACAUGAGCGUCAGUUUCGGGCCAGUUGGCCGCCUUCGCCACUGGUGUUCUUCCUAAUAUCUACGAAUUUCACCUCUACACUAGGAAUUCCGCCAACCUCUCCCGAACUCAAGACAGACAGUAUCAAAGGCAAUUCCGAGGUUGAGCCCCGGGAUUUCACCCCUGACUUAUCAAUCCGCCUGCGUGCGCUUUACGCCCAGUGAUUCCGAACAACGCUAGCCCCCUUCGUAUUACCGCGGCUGCUGGCAC
RNAcentral lists this ribosomal RNA (292 nucleotides) under uncultured Alphaproteobacteria bacterium. RNAcentral's name for it is "partial 16S ribosomal RNA". The record is from RNAcentral. Lineage: Bacteria; Pseudomonadati; Pseudomonadota; Alphaproteobacteria.